RNAcentral lists this ribosomal RNA (253 nucleotides) under uncultured bacterium. Its description in RNAcentral is "partial 16S ribosomal RNA". It matches the Rfam family "Bacterial small subunit ribosomal RNA", at positions 524 to 776 of the family's 1533-position model. The record is from RNAcentral.
UACGAAGGGGGCUAGCGUUGUUCGGAUUUACUGGGCGUAAAGCGCGUGUAGGCGGCUCGGUAAGUCUGCUGUGAAAGUCCAGGGCUCAACCCUGGAAUGCCGGUGGAAACUGUCGGGCUAGAGUCCGGAAGAGGCGAGUGGAAUUCCUGGUGUAGCGGUGAAAUGCGCAGAUAUCAGGAGGAACACCAAUGGCGAAGGCAGCUCGCUGGGACGGUACUGACGCUGAGACGCGAAAGCGUGGGGAGCAAACAGG